CUACGGGGGGCUCCAGUGGGGAAUCUUAGACAAUGGGGGAAACCCUGAUCUAGCCAUGCCGCGUGAUCGAUGAAGGCCUUAGGGUUGUAAAGAUCUUUCAGUUGGGAAGAUAAUGACGGUACCAACAGAAGAAGCCCCGGCUAACUCCGUGCCAGCAGCCGCGGUAAUACGGAGGGGGCUAGCGUUAUUCGGAAUUACUGGGCAUAAGGCGCACGUAGGCGGAUUAGAAAGUCAGAGGUGAAAUCCCAGGGCUCAACCUUGGAACUGCCUUUGAAACUCCUAGUCUUGAGGUCGAGAGAGGUGAGUGGAAUUCCGAGUGUAGAGGUGAAAUUCGUAGAUAUUCGGAGGAACACCAGUGGCGAAGGCGGCUCACUGGCUCGAUACUGACGCUGAGGUGCGAAAGCGUGGGGAGCAAACAGGAUUAGAUACCCCGGUAGUC
RNAcentral lists this ribosomal RNA (439 nucleotides) under uncultured bacterium. RNAcentral's name for it is "partial 16S ribosomal RNA". It matches the Rfam family "Bacterial small subunit ribosomal RNA", at positions 339 to 795 of the family's 1533-position model. The record is from RNAcentral.